UGUGGGGGCAUAAAUGAAAUCCUAUACUCAUCUCCAUCCAUUCGUCAUUUUUUUAAUUUGGCAGAUCUUAAUAUUUCUAUUCUCAUUGUUUGAUUUCAUUUUUUUAAGUAAACACACACAAUGAGAAUGACCUCUCAUUCUCUUUUCUCAAUCCAAGAAGUAAACACACCUUUAAUUACUUAUGAGUUAUGAAUUGGAAUAAAAUUUUAAGAUCCUUAAUUAAAUGGAAUUCACAGUUUAAUGACUAUUCUAAAAUUAAGACUCGGAUAAAUUGAAAAAAAAAAACACAUAAAAGAGACUACAAUAUUUUCUUUCUUUAAAUUUUUAUUAAUUAUUUAAGAGAGUUUGAAUUUUUUUUCCUUAAAAUUAUUAUAUAAAUUUUGAACUAUUGAUCUUCUGCAGAUCUCACGCAAUUUAAUCAUAGAUAGUCAAAAUUUAAAGUAAUAUUUUGAUAAUAUUAAUUGGUUCUAAUUGAUUUCAAAUUGUAAAAUAUUAAUAACAUGGUAAUUGUAAAAUUAAAAAAAAAAAGAGUCGGAAAAUGUUUUUAAAAAGAUUUGAGAGUAGACUAAUAAGGGAGAGAGAAAAAUAUCUCGUUGAAUUGAUAUUUUGAACAAGCAACAGGCCCAGCCCAUUGGGGAUUGUGGGUCCACAUAGAGAACCGGGCUAUUUCAGUGACCUCCCCAAGUCAAAGGGAAUCUUGACACGCAACAAGAUGAAUAGUUGCAUCGUAUCAAAAUCAAAGUGGUAUCAACGACCUAUUAAUAUAAUUGAUAGAAAAAUCAUAUCCCAUUAAAUAAUCUAAUUUGUUUCAACUAAAUAUUGUCAGCAUCUAAUUAGAUGAAAAUAAUUUGAAAAAAAAAAAGAGAAAAAGUUGGUGACCUAUCAUUACCGCUGUCAUUCAAUAGUAAAGUUAAAUUUUGUAAAAUUAAUACAAGUUGCUAGAAAAAGCAGUCUUAUUUAUCAAUUAUACUUUGAAUUAACUUUUGUAUUGGAAUUUUAAAAAAACUUAGAUGGUACAUACACCACUAUAUCAUCGUAUUACAACAUAUCAUUAUGUAAAAACAAUGGUUUGCCACAAACAUUGAGAAAGUCGAGAUUGGGCAAAGCCCAUCAUGUCGUUCAUACCAAGUGAUGCUAAUAGUUAAUAGAAGAGAAAAUUUAAUAUAUAUGACAAUAUUUUUAAAAGUAAUACUAUACUUACAAAGUUAUAAUAUAAAAUUUAUAUCUCCAUUGAUGUGACAUACACGUGAUUUUUUUUAUAAAAUUUAACAUGUGGCAAUGAGAUGAUAAGAUAAACGAUCACGCACUACAUGUCAUAUGACAAUUUAUGAUAAUAACUCAUCAUAUGUGCUAUGACUUAUUUACACUUUUAUAAUUCUAUUAUUACGUUGUUUUAAGAUCUUGACUUAUUUUUUCAUCAAUUAGAUCUUUUAAAUCCAACAAUGUAGAUGUAAAAAGUUCAAGUAGCAAUUUAGUCAUAAUGCAUUUAACACUCUAGAUUGAAUAGAUUCAAUAGAUAUAAAAUUAAGUUAAAAAGGAAUCCCACCAUGAAGAUAUCUACCCCUUCUCAUUUGUGAGAAGAGAAAUGUUUGAAUUUCUAUAAGGGGUCAAAUCUAAGUCCCCAAACUACAAAAUUAGGCUAAGAUUUUAGUGGAAGUAGAUUUAUAAGUUAUUUUUGGUAAACUCUGGAUUGCAAUAUAUGUAUUUUCCAAUAUGUUUUGUCGUUCUAUAAUUUAUAAUUAGAUAAAGAAUGCUUUCAAUUAGGGAUGACAAAAUUGACAACAAACUCACAAAUCCGCCUAUAGAAACUUGCUUAUUGUAGGUACUUUUGCAAGUCGUGUGUAGGUUUUGUAUUAAAAAAAAAAAGUCAAUAGACAUCCGUGUGAGUAUUUGUCUACCUGCAUUUUUUUAAAAUUAUCCGUGCCUUUAAUUUUAAUCAUUAAUCACAAAAAUAUAUAAGCUAAAAUUAUAACUCCUGAACUAAUCUUCCUAAUUCUUAAAUCUAACCUAACUCGCUAUAGCCACAAACCCUAUUCCUUCUGGUGUGCGUGUGUGUUUCAAUAAGUAGAAAUUUUAUAUUUUGAAGUUUAAUAUUAUUGAUAUAUUAUUUUAAUUUCAAAUAAUUUUGUUUCUUUUGGUUUAACAACUUGCACCUAAUGAUUGCUUGCUAAAGCUAGGUUUUUAUUUGUUUAAUUAAUUGUUAACGAUAGUUGUCCAAAAUUUACUUGUUAAUAUUGUUAACAAUGCUUGUAUAUAUAUGUAUAUAUUAAAGAACGGGGCUAAUGCAGUGAUCUAAGUUAUGAUGAUUUGCCUACAAUAAAAAUAAUUUUGCGUUAGAUUGAUAUAUU
RNAcentral lists this long non-coding RNA (2348 nucleotides) under Citrus x clementina. RNAcentral describes it as "Citrus clementina (C. clementina) long non-coding RNA (CCLE_LNC005575)". Lineage: Eukaryota; Viridiplantae; Streptophyta; Magnoliopsida; Sapindales; Rutaceae. The record is from RNAcentral.